CAACGUUUACAGUGUAUGUUUUAUGUUUUCUGAAGAAUGUUUAGGACAACUUCAUGUGUUGGUGUCCAUAAAAGAUAACCUAAACCUUUGCAAAAUGUAUAUCAUGGAAUAAUGGUUCUGGAAUAUUAAAAAUACAUUGUGUUACCUUACAUGCUGUACUCAAUAUAAUACACAACCAGCAACAACUAUUCUAUAGUAUAAAUGUUGAGUAUUAUUGAUAAGUGAUUCACAGACAUUGAGAACAUGUAUGGCCCGAGUAUCGAACUUACACAAGCUUACAUGCUACCCCUUCCAAGGCCACACCAGCACCGCCUCUAUUAGGACCUGUUCUCAUAGUUUAACCAAAAGUGAUUACCGGGUAUAUUUACUUCGAUGAUGACAGUGACGAUGAUGACAGUGACGGGAUGGUGAGCUGAUGAGAUACAGUGAUAUAGGUCCAGCCACAUUCGCAUGGGACACCUGACACCAUGGUAACUCAAUUUAGUUGUCUGGUACAGUGCUGGAAGGGAUCUCCAGAUUCUUGUGGUCACAGAUACACACCGACCACAUGUUUGACCCUUGGUGGUCAAUUUCUCCUAUCCACACAUUGUAGGUAUAUGAGACAGGUCUAGCUCCCACAGGGAUCAGUUGUAGGUAUAUGAGACAGGUCUAGCUCCCACAGGGAUCAGUUGUAGGUACAUGAGACAGGUCUAGCUCCCACAGGGAUCAGUUGUAGGUAUAUGAGACGGGUCUAGCUCCCACAGGGAUCAGUUGUAGGUAUAUGAGACAGGUCUAGCUACCACAGGGAUCAGCUGUAGUUAUAUGAGACAGGUCUAGCUCCCACAGGGAUCAGUUGUAGGUAUAUGAGACAGGUCUAGCUCCCACAGGGAUCAGUUGUAGGUAUAUGAGACAGGUCUAGCUCCCACAGGGAUCAGGUAUUUGUUACUGAUGAUUCUACAAAGCCAUAUUGGAAUAACCUGAUGUGUAAAAUACCAUCAUUAAAAUUUCUAUAUCUCCAUUUCAACCAACCAUAUGACAUCUCAACAGUAGCCUUUACACUUUGGGAUAUGUCCAAAUUCACGUAGACAGAAGCAACUUUUCUGAUCUAGGGUUUGGGUGCUUUUGCAAACACAGGGAGUGACGGUGCAGUCUGUCCAGCAAUACAUGAUAUUGUCGGUAGACACCUGUCGCUUAAUGCGAUUUCGUUUUCUUGUUCAGUGGUUUGGGUCACAUAUUAAAAUUAAUUUGUAUUAAUUUUUACUGUAGAUAUUGCGUUCUUGGGAACUUGCUUUCGGUACCACCGUUUAUAACCAUUUUGUCUUAUGUUGACAGGAUAUUGACAGGAAAUAGCAGGUUACCAGUUAAUGGCAAUAAAUCACAGUUCAUAGUAGAUUAAAGCAGAUAUACAGACAUCAUCACUUCAUCAUUGUGCUUAUCUAUUAAAAUUUGGUAAUGCAUUCAAAUUUGAGUGUGAAAAUAUAAGUACAUUUACUGUAGUGUUAUCAUGGGUUGUAUAAGGUACUGAGGAAAUUAAUAAGUUAAUUCACAUGUAUUACGUGAUUUUAUAAUGUUAUUUGAGAAUUUUAUACAUUGUACAUGUAUAUAUAUAUUCAUUGUUAUGCUGAUUAUACAUGUUAUUCUACUGUCUGAUGAAUUAUAGAAAUAAUUGUGGUAAUUUUUAUAGAGGAAAUCGUGAAAACAAGGUUGUUGAAAUAAAGUUAUUAUUAAUGUUCAAAA
Long non-coding RNA from Pecten maximus, 1716 nucleotides. RefSeq lists it as uncharacterized. The transcript has 2 exons. The record is from RefSeq and is a predicted model, not a curated record. Lineage: Eukaryota; Metazoa; Mollusca; Bivalvia; Pectinida; Pectinidae.